GACGAACGCUGGCGGCGUGCUUAACACAUGCAAGUCGAACGGAAAGGCCCUGCUUUUGUGGGGUGCUCGAGUGGCGAACGGGUGAGUAACACGUGAGUAACCUGCCCUUGACUUUGGGAUAACUUCAGGAAACUGGGGCUAAUACCGGAUAGGAGCUCCUGCUGCAUGGUGGGGGUUGGAAAGUUUCGGCGGUUGGGGAUGGACUCGCGGCUUAUCAGCUUGUUGGUGGGGUAGUGGCUUACCAAGGCUUUGACGGGUAGCCGGCCUGGGAGGGUGACCGGCCACAUUGGGACUGAGAUACGGCACAGACUCCUACGGGAGGCAGAAGUGGGGAAUAUUGCACAAUGGGCGGAAGCCUGAUGCAGCAACGCCGCGUGCGGGAUGACGGCCUUCGGGUUGUAAACCGCUUUCGCCUGUGACGAAGCGUGAGUGACGGUAAUGGGUAAAGAAGCACCGGCUAACUACGUG
RNAcentral lists this ribosomal RNA (468 nucleotides) under uncultured bacterium. Its description in RNAcentral is "partial 16S ribosomal RNA". It matches the Rfam family "Bacterial small subunit ribosomal RNA", at positions 28 to 507 of the family's 1533-position model. The record is from RNAcentral.